AUCUCUUCUUGGAGAUUGCUCCUCAUGGAGUUUUUGUGAGCCUAUGAUGUUGGGGGAACUGAACUGUUGCAGUUUAGAUAGUUCAUCUUCUCUGAGAUGCCACAGUCAAAGAAUCAGAUUUAUGAUUAUUACCUAAGGGAGACUUGAUCCAGCAAGCAUUGGUGAAUGUCAGUGGGUACCAUUUUUUUUUCCACAUGGCGGAAUUCAGUGACACACCAUUACUUCGUAUAUGCACUUCCAUGUCAGACACCAUUUUGUCAACCACCCCUCUGCUGCCAUCUGUCACAUGGUAUCAACAUGCCAUGGGAUGUUUGUGGGAAGUUCAGCCCCUACUGCAAUACCACCAACAUCUGCCUCUGAUGUUGUGAACAAACGUAAUAAAAUGGGAAACAUGGCUUUCGGAGCAGCCCUUGUGUCUGUAAAAGAAGGAGAAUGUAGAUCUGUUUUGCAUAAAAUGGAAUAUUUACUCAGAUUCCUCUCAAAGAAGGGUCUUCAGAAAACUGUCUUUCCAUGAGACAUUCCAACAGUUUUUCCUCUGUCAUGGCAGUUCAUUUCAGCUCAUUUCAAUUCACACAGAUAAAAACCAUUGCUUCCUGCUCCUACUGAACAGAAGGCCAUAACAUGCAUGUAGCACUAUCAGGAGGCAGCAAUGUCAGGUUUUCUUUAGAUAGAUUUCAUUUUUUAGUUAAUAUUUUACAGAAUUGGGGCACUUUUAAAUCUGGUUUUAAUAAAUUUUGUUUUGUGAAAAGCCAAACUAAUGGUUUUCAUCAAGUGUGGUUUAGCCGUAGGCUUUCAAGAACUGAGACAGCAUCUUCCACACCAUCAAUGUCAAAUAUUUUGUGUGUUUCUCUGUGGCCUGUAACUGGCAUGUAAGAACUUCUUUCUUUAUAAAAUACUACCAAUAGAUAGCUAUAGGGAGGCUGCCAUUGCUGUAGGAUUGCAGUCAUUGCUGUGGUUAUUCUCCCAUUUUUCCAUCCAUCCCAAGCAGGAGCUGCCCCUAUUCUGUAAAGUCAAUUUCUUUGUGGAGAUAUAAAUUAAAUAAAUGUUUUUUCUCAAGGAUGAAGUAACUUUAAUUUUCUCUGUAGAUUACCAAUUAUUGCAAAUUGAUGAAGUCUUGUAUGUUUUUCCAGGCAUUUUUAUCUGAGGAAUUUUGAACCUGAUGCUUAUGGAUUCCUAAUAACACUACAAAGAUAGCAAUGAAUUUUAUCUCUCUGCUUGCCAUCUCCCCUGACUUGCAGGCAGCAAAAAACUUGCCUUCAAAGCAUUUCUGCUCUCUUAUGAGAGCAUGUGAGUGUCCUGUGGCAACUGAAACUUCCAAUAUAUUUAACUUGGGGGUCAGAAUGAGCUGUCUUGUGGUGGUAUUUAUAAAGUAUCUAAAUGGAAAUUUCUCAGUGCCAUUACAAGAACAUUGGGGUUGCUUGUGCAGUUUCAAAUGGCGUUGCAUUUGAAGAAAGGAUUCUGGGGUUAAGUUUUCCCAGAUGGGAAAAAUCCAACGUAGGCAUCGCCACAGAACAAAGGUGCUCUUUUCUUCCAGGAUAAAUUGGUUUAUUUCCACAGUUAUGUUCUAUCUUUUCUAAUAGAUGGAUUGUGAAUGAUUGUAUUAAAUAAAAUACAAGCAAGACAUUAUUGGUUAAACUGAAAUGAUCAUUUGUUUAAAGGAUAUUCCUGUUGUCUGAACUGUCACGCACAUGAGCAGUCCUGUCUCAGGAAAUACUUCCAUUUUGAUUAACUGUAAAGAAUUUUGUUGACCUGAUAGACUCUUCUGAGAGCUGACAAACACCACGUCAAAAUAAUGUCAAGAUUAAAAAGUUGGUAAUACAAUUGAAAGUCAACAAAGCAUUGCAGUAUGUUCCUUUGAAAAAUGGAUCUUGGCCUAUCAGAACAUUGUUGAUGUAUAUCAAGUCAGAAAGAAAAACUUCAAUUAUUUGAAGGCAAAAUAAAAUAGCUCUGUAUCUCUACCAAAUGCAAGGUGAUAUGCAUUCAGGUUUCUGUAUAUGAAUGAGGAGUAUAUUUGGAGACUGGUGCCUCUUAAAUGGGUUUAUGGUUCAGCUGGUGUUGGAUGACAGUUAAAACAAAUGCAAUCUUUGAAUGUGUAAAAAUGAGAGUAUUGGGUGUAUGUCACUAGUUAGUAUGUGUGUUAGUAUGACACUAACAGGAGAAUUGAGAAAAUUGAGCUAGGCCUGAGGCUUAUGUAUUGAAAAGGGUGUUAGCUGGUAGAAAAUGUUCUGAAGCAAAGGAAAUGAAUGAUUCAGGCUUGACAAAUUUUCCUGUAAUUAUGACACGUGUUUUAACACUAAUUAACAAAUGCAAAAAUCACACUGAUGAAGAUAUUAAUUAUCAUAGAGGAACUAAAAUCUGUGUCCAGGGCAACUGAUUUUCUGAAUGAGAAAUACAUACAACUUCUGUUAUAUAGGAUGGAAAAGAGGAGCUAGAGCAAUCACUUUGGUACAAAAUUCUGUGAGUGCUC
This 2467-nucleotide long non-coding RNA is filed under the name Gallus gallus (chicken). RNAcentral describes it as "lncRNA (ENSGALG00010009010.1)". Lineage: Eukaryota; Metazoa; Chordata; Aves; Galliformes; Phasianidae. The record is from RNAcentral.